Molecule: unclassified non-coding RNA, 212 nt
Filed under: Hevea brasiliensis (rubber tree)
Lineage: Eukaryota; Viridiplantae; Streptophyta; Magnoliopsida; Malpighiales; Euphorbiaceae
Source: RNAcentral
UGGCCUUGGUACAGUCUAUCUCUUCAACUUUGGCCCUGAUAUCAAAACAAUGACCUACCAGAAGGAAAAGGUUUCAGAGUUUGAUGAGUCGCUGCACCGAAUUGCGCUGGAAGUAAUAGAAGGCGGCCACCUGAAUCUCGGUUUUUCAUACUACAAUACAAUUUUCCAGCUAACUGCAACUGAAGAAGGGGAGACCCUGAUUGAGGUCACUG